GUGGGGAAUAUUGGGCAAUGGGGGAAACCCUGACCCAGCGACGCCGCGUGAGUGAAGAAGGGUUUCGGCUCGUAAAGCUCUGUUGUCGGGGACGAAUGUGCAGUAUUUGAAUAAAGUAGUGCAAUGACGGUACCUGACGAGGAAGCCACGGCUAACUACGUGCCAGCAGCCGCGGUAAUACGUAGGUGGCAAGCGUUGUCCGGAAUUAUUGGGCGUAAAGGGAGCGCAGGCGGGAAGGUAAGUCGGUCUUAAAAGUGCGGGGCUCAACCCCGUGAUGGGAUCGAAACUAUCUUUCUUGAGUGCAGGAGAGGAAAGUGGAAUUCCUAGUGUAGCGGUGAAAUGCGUAGAUAUUAGGAGGAACACCAGUGGCGAAGGCGACUUUCUGGACUGUAACUGACGCUGAGGCUCGAAAGCCAGGGGAGCGAACGGGAUUAGAAACCCGGGUAGUCC
RNAcentral lists this ribosomal RNA (450 nucleotides) under uncultured bacterium. RNAcentral describes it as "partial 16S ribosomal RNA". It matches the Rfam family "Bacterial small subunit ribosomal RNA", at positions 354 to 796 of the family's 1533-position model. The record is from RNAcentral.